AUGGCUCAGGACGAACGCUGGCGGCGUGCCUAACACAUGCAAGUCGAACGGGGAUUUGUUUCGGCAGAAUCCUAGUGGCGAACGGGUGAGUAACGCGUAGGCAACCUGCCCUCCGGCCGGGGACAACACUCCGAAAGGGGUGCUAAUACCGGAUACGAAGUCUGUGCCGCAUGGUACGGAUUUGAAAGAUGGCCUCUGUUUACAAGCUAUCGCCGGGGGAUGGGCCUGCGUCCGAUUAGCUGGUUGGUGGGGUAACGGCCUACCAAGGCGACGAUCGGUAGCCGGUCUGAGAGGAUGAACGGCCACAUUGGGACUGAGACACGGCCCAGACUCCUACGGGAGGCAGCAGUGGGGAAUCUUCCGCAAUGGGCGCAAGCCUGACGGAGCAACGCCGCGUGAGUGAAGAAAGGUUUUCGGAUCGUAAAACUCUGUUGUCAGAGAAGAACAAGUUGGAGAGUAACUGCUCCAGCCUUGACGGUAUCUGACCAGAAAGCCACGGCUAACUACGUGCCAGCAGCCGC
Molecule: ribosomal RNA, 521 nt
Filed under: uncultured bacterium
Lineage: Bacteria
Description: bacterial SSU rRNA
Rfam family: Bacterial small subunit ribosomal RNA
Source: RNAcentral